RNAcentral lists this transfer RNA (72 nucleotides) under Linophryne bicornis. RNAcentral's name for it is "tRNA-Thr". It matches the Rfam family "tRNA". Rfam says of the family: Transfer RNA (tRNA) molecules are approximately 80 nucleotides in length. Their secondary structure includes four short double-helical elements and three loops (D, anti-codon, and T loops). Further hydrogen bonds mediate the characteristic L-shaped molecular structure. tRNAs have two regions of fundamental functional importance: the anti-codon, which is responsible for specific mRNA codon recognition, and the 3' end, to which the tRNAs corresponding amino acid is attached (by aminoacyl-tRNA synthetases). tRNAs cope with the degeneracy of the genetic code in two manners: having more than one tRNA (with a specific anti-codon) for a particular amino acid; and 'wobble' base-pairing, i.e. permitting non-standard base-pairing at the 3rd anti-codon position. RNAcentral also lists the same sequence under 1 other name. Lineage: Eukaryota; Metazoa; Chordata; Actinopteri; Lophiiformes; Linophrynidae. The record is from RNAcentral.
GUAUUAGUGGCUCAAAGCUAAAGCGUCGGCCUUGUAAUCCGGAAAUUGGAGGUUAAACCCCUCCCUAAUGCU